AAGUAGUGAGCAGCAAAAUUUGGGACCAAGAAACGAAUUGCUCCAUCUCUAGUCUUUGCAGCAACCAGUGAGACAGCAACUCGUUGCGUCUCGCCUCAUCAAGGAUCACAGCUGCGUUCUCUCUCUAUAAAGCGUCGUCGGAGAAGUUGGAGAGGGAGAUUGCGCCUGGAGUUCAAUUACUUAUGUUGAUUUUGAUUUACGGGCAUGAAUACCGGGUCAUACAACGCAGCACUGAUUGAAAAGGGAAAAGAAGUCGGUCCUGAUCUGCAUCUGCAAAAGUUCUCACCGUCGAUAAUUGCACCUGUAAUGGGAUUGGGUUGUUAUCCCCUGAACUUCAGUUUCUAAAUAUUACAACUUGGAAUACCAAAAUUUUUGAGUGAUUCCAAGUGGCUUAGUUUCUUGAUAGAUGUAGAAGUUGAGACUGUAUGUUGACUGUAGUCCAUAGUUGAUUUUAAGCUACCAUCAUGCUUGUCUGAUAUUGUAGAAUUGGUGUGGAUGUAAGAGCAGUUAAGUUAUAUUUCUAUUUCUUUUUCAUUUUUGUUGUUGGAA
Tripterygium wilfordii is the source of this 549-nucleotide long non-coding RNA. RefSeq lists it as uncharacterized. The transcript has 2 exons. Lineage: Eukaryota; Viridiplantae; Streptophyta; Magnoliopsida; Celastrales; Celastraceae. The record is from RefSeq and is a predicted model, not a curated record.